Molecule: ribosomal RNA, 407 nt
Filed under: uncultured bacterium
Lineage: Bacteria
Description: bacterial SSU rRNA
Rfam family: Bacterial small subunit ribosomal RNA
Source: RNAcentral
UGGGGAAUAUUCCGCAAUGGGGGCAACCCUGACGGAGCAAUGCCGCGUGAGUGAAGAAGGCCCUUGGGUCGUAAAGCUCUGUUUUCGGGGACGAAGAAAGUGACGGUACCCGAGUAGGAAGCCCCGGCUAACCACGUGCCAGCAGCCGCGGUAAUACGUGGGGGGCGAGCGUUGUCCGGAAUCACUGGGCGUAAAGGGCGCGUAGGCGGUUUACCAAGCCAGACGUGAAAACACGGGGCCCAACCCCGUGCCUGCGUUUGGAACUGGUUGACUUGAGGACAGGAGAGGAAAGCGGAAUUCCGGGUGUAGCGGUGAAAUGCGUAGAUAUCCGGAGGAACACCAGUGGCGAAGGCGGCUUUCUGGACUGCACCUGACGCUGAGGCGCGAAAGCCAGGGUAGCGAACGGG